GCUUAUCCGUAAACUUAUACAUUUAAAUACAAUAAAAUGUCCGCCAGGGUACUACGAGCACUAGCUUAAAACCCAAAGGACCUGACGGUGUCUCAGAUCCAUCUAGAGGAGCCUGUUCUAAAACCGAUAACCCCCGUUCAACCUCACCACUUCUAGCUAUUUCAGCCUAUAUACCGCCGUCGUCAGCUUACCCUGUGAAGGGAAAAAAGUAAGCAAGAUGGGUACAACCCAGAACGUCAGGUCGAGGUGUAGCGCAUGAAGUGGGAAGAAAUGGGCUACAUUUUCUACCACAGAAAACUACGAAUAUGCACCAUGAAACAGUGCUUAAAGGAGGAUUUAACAGUAAGAGGGAAAUAGAGUGUCCCCCUGAACCCGGCUCUGAGACGCGUACACACCGCCCGUCACCCUCUGCAGUCAACAACCCACC
RNAcentral lists this ribosomal RNA (427 nucleotides) under Puntius sp. YYS-1. RNAcentral describes it as "partial 12S ribosomal RNA". It matches the Rfam family "Bacterial small subunit ribosomal RNA", at positions 794 to 1422 of the family's 1533-position model. The record is from RNAcentral. Lineage: Eukaryota; Metazoa; Chordata; Actinopteri; Cypriniformes; Cyprinidae.